GAUGAAGAACGUAGCGAAAUGCGAUAAGUAAUGUGAAUUGCAGAAUCCAGUGAAUCAUCGAAUCUUUGAACGCAUCUUGCGCUCCUUGGUAUUCUGAGGAGCAUGCCUGUUUGAGUGUCAUUAAAUUCUCAACUACACUGACUUUGAAUUGGUGUGGCUUGGAUUUGGGGGGAAAAUUGUUGUGGGCUUUUUGUAUAGUCUGCUCCCCUGAAAUUGAUUAGCGGUACCUUUGUGGAACUGUCUACAGGUGUGAUAAUUAUCUACAUCUUAGACAUCUGCUGGAAUGCUGCUUUCUAAACCUUACUUGUAUUGACAAUCUUGACCUCAAAUCAGGUAGGACUACCCGCUGAACUUAAGCAUAUCAAUAAGCGGAGGA
RNAcentral lists this unclassified non-coding RNA (376 nucleotides) under soil metagenome. RNAcentral's name for it is "partial contains 5.8S ribosomal RNA, internal transcribed spacer 2, and large subunit ribosomal RNA". The stretch from base 1 to 120 matches the Rfam family "5.8S ribosomal RNA", at positions 35 to 154 of the family's 154-position model. The record is from RNAcentral.